RNAcentral lists this long non-coding RNA (249 nucleotides) under Ictidomys tridecemlineatus (thirteen-lined ground squirrel). RNAcentral's name for it is "lncRNA (ENSSTOG00000033087.1)". The record is from RNAcentral. Lineage: Eukaryota; Metazoa; Chordata; Mammalia; Rodentia; Sciuridae.
GGGACCUAGAGCCAGAAACUGAGUUACAAAAAAUAAAGGGAUGGAUAUUUCUCGCCUGCUUGAGUUACCUACUAUUGAGAUACCUGCAGCUUACAAUCUAAGGCUGAACUGAUGCAGCAGAGCAGCUGUGAUGUAACCUUCUGUCCUCUGGGAUGCUGUAUUUUGUACAAGGGCCUGGAUUUUAAGUGUACAAACCAAGAGGACUCCUUUCGUCUACUAUGGUCCAUAGCCAAUCUGAAGACCACCUGG